UAUACUCGCAUGGAUGAAGGCACUUUUGACUGGUGUCAGAUAGAAAAAAAAGAUCAGAAAAAGAAAUAAAAAAAUUAAAGCUCUGACCAAACCAAGUCGAUCAACAACCAAUAAAGAAGCUUCACCCUGCCGAUGAAAUCCCAGGCUAAAUAAUUAUGGCGGCAGGUAUGACUUUUAUACUUUUCUUUCUACUCCAUGUGUGCAGAUCUUAAUAGAGAUCGAAGGAGAGGAAUAACUUCGACAUCCCCCAUCGAUAAAAGCACCA
RNAcentral lists this long non-coding RNA (265 nucleotides) under Elaeis guineensis (African oil palm). RNAcentral describes it as "long non-coding RNA (EGUI_LNC031931)". The record is from RNAcentral. Lineage: Eukaryota; Viridiplantae; Streptophyta; Magnoliopsida; Arecales; Arecaceae.